This 265-nucleotide unclassified non-coding RNA is filed under the name Hevea brasiliensis (rubber tree). The record is from RNAcentral. Lineage: Eukaryota; Viridiplantae; Streptophyta; Magnoliopsida; Malpighiales; Euphorbiaceae.
GAGGACGAUGAGUGGGGAGAUUUAGCGAGACAUUUUGAGGGGUGUAAAUGCUUGAAGGUGGAAAACCAUCAAGUCGGGCAGGAUGCGAGGAACCAUGGCUGGUGAGGUGGUCCGUGCGGUCGUGUGGGGACGACGCGUUUAGAGAGUAAGGCAGAACAUUUUCGCGACAACGGUGUGGUGGUUGCGGAAAGUGUUGAGGAAACAAGGUGGGAGUUGGGGUGGGGUGAGGUGGGAGGUUGUCAGCCGACAAACCAGCGAGCGAAGG